GACGAACGCUGGCGGCGUGCUUAACACAUGCAAGUCGAACGGAAAGGCCCUGCUUUUGUGGGGUGCUCGAGUGGCGAACGGGUGAGUAACACGUGAGUAACCUGCCCUUGACUUUGGGAUAACUUCAGGAAACUGUGGCUAAUACCGGAUAGGAGCUCCUGCUGCAUGGUGGGGGUUGGAAAGUUUCGGCGGUUGGGGAUGGACUCGCGGCUUAUCAGCUUGUUGGUGGGGUAGUGGCUUACCAAGGCUUUGACGGGUAGCCGGCCUGAGAGGGUGACCGGCCACAUUGGGACUGAGAUACGGCCCAGACUCCUACGGGAGGCAGCAGUGGGGAAUAUUGCACAAUGGGCGGAAGCCUGAUGCAGCAACGCCGCGUGCGGGAUGACGGCCUUCGGGGUGUAAACCGCUUUCGCCUGUGACGAAGCGUGAGUGACGGUAAUGGGUAAAGAAGCACCGGCUAACUACGUG
Molecule: ribosomal RNA, 468 nt
Filed under: uncultured bacterium
Lineage: Bacteria
Description: partial 16S ribosomal RNA
Rfam family: Bacterial small subunit ribosomal RNA
Source: RNAcentral